This is a long non-coding RNA of Helianthus annuus (common sunflower), 850 nucleotides long. RefSeq lists it as uncharacterized. Lineage: Eukaryota; Viridiplantae; Streptophyta; Magnoliopsida; Asterales; Asteraceae. The transcript has 3 exons. The record is from RefSeq and is a predicted model, not a curated record.
UUUCUUUCACCUUUUCACACGGAUUGUGAUCUGAACGGUUGAUAUUCAGCUCACACGGAUCAAGGGUUUUACUUUCAUUUGAUUUACUCUCACAAAACUUCAUCAACCCUUUUUCUCUCUCUUUCUCUCUCUCUGGCGACUCAUGAACAUAUCUUGUUAAAAUCCGCUGAUUAGGGUUCCGGCAGUGGGAUUCUCGAGCAGAUUGGUGGCAGACGAGCAUCCGGCUGUAGAUGGUGGUUUUCUGGUAGAUCUAAGUUUUAAACCCCCAGCCGCUCCUUUUCGUUCUCUCUCAAAGAUUCAGUCCAGAUCUGCCCUCACUUCGCGAUUCACCAUAAGCUAAGAGGAGACAUGAUAGAGGAGAAAGGGAGCCGACAAAGCCCUAGCUGUUGCAUCAGGCGGAGAUGAGUACUGGAGACCAACUUAGCGUUGUUGUGCCUCAGGAGCCUUAAUUUCAGUGCAAAUUAUACGAUUUCACUACUCAUUUAGUUAAUUUAUUAUGUGAUUCUGCUUUUCCUCAAGAUCUGUUGCGAUUUACUCACACCGAAAUAUGAAUUUUGUGUUGUUUUGUUUUUGGUAGUUAAAUUGAAGAAGUAGAUAUCAUGUUCCAUGCACUGAUGAACGAGAUAAACAUUAAUCUUGUGGCGUAUAAGACAAAAAGGAAGAACUACUAUGGAUGCCGACAAGAACCAUAUUACCAAAGACCAGUGCUUGGCGAGUGAGAAAAGACUCACAAGCGUUGUAUAGUCGUUUGGCUAAAGAAACAUGGAAAUCGUUUUGAGAUUGCUUGUUACAAGAACACGGUCCUCUCAUGGUGUCCUGGCGUGUAAGCAUCUUUAAAUCCACCUAUAUU